GACGAACGCUGGCGGCGUGCUUAACACAUGCAAGUCGAACGGAAAGGCCCUGCUUUUGUGGGGUGCUCGAGUGGCGAACGGGUGAGUAACACGUGAGUAACCUGCCCUUGACUUUGGGAUAACUUCAGGAAACUGGGGCUAAUACCGGAUAGGAGCUCCUGCUGCAUGGUGGGGGUUGGAAAGUUUCGGCGGUUGGGGAUGGACUCGCGGCUUAUCAGCUUGUUGGUGGGGUAGUGGCUUACCAAGGCUUUGACGGGUAGCCGGCCUGAGAGGGUGACCGGCCACAUUGGGACUGAGAUACGGCCCAGACUCCUACGGGAGGCAGCGGUGGGGAAUAUUGCACAAUGGGCGGAAGCCUGAUGCAGCAACGCCGCGUGCGGGAUGACGGCCUUCGGGUUGUAAACCGCUUUCGCCUGUGACGAAGCGUGAGUGACGGUAAUGGGUAAAGAAGCACCGGCUAAAUACGUG
RNAcentral lists this ribosomal RNA (468 nucleotides) under uncultured bacterium. Its description in RNAcentral is "partial 16S ribosomal RNA". It matches the Rfam family "Bacterial small subunit ribosomal RNA", at positions 28 to 507 of the family's 1533-position model. The record is from RNAcentral.